GGACAAGGUUCCUGGCGGUGAGGACAAGGUUCCUGGCGUUGAGGACAAGGUUCCUGGCGUUGAGGACAAAGUUCCUGGCGCUGAGGACGAGGUUCCUGGCGGUGAGGACGAGGUUCCUGGCGAUGAGGACAAGGUUCCUGGCGCUGAGGACAAGGUUCCAGGCGGUGAGGACAAGGUUCCUGCCGCUGAGGACAAGGUUCCUGCCGGUGAGCACAAGGUUUCUGCUGGUGAGGACAAGGUUCCUGGCGUUGAGGACAAGGCUCCUGGCGGUGAGCACGAGGUUCCUGGGGGUGAGGACAAGGUUCCUGGCGAUGAGGACAAGGUUCCUGGCGGUGAGGACAAGGUUCCAGGCGGUGAGGACAAGGUUCCUGGCGGUGAGGACAAGGUUCCUGGCGUUGAGGACAAGGUUCCUGGUGCUGAGGACAAGGUUCCUGGCGCUGAGGACAAGGUUCCUGGCGCUGAGGACAAGGUUCCUGGCAGCGAGGACAAGGUUCCUGGCGUUGAGGACAAGGUUCCUGGCGUUGAGGACAAGGUUCCUGGCGGUGAGGACAAG
Paramuricea clavata is the source of this 553-nucleotide non-coding RNA. The record is from the annotation of a GenBank genome assembly. NCBI's taxonomy places the organism in Eukaryota, Metazoa, Cnidaria, Anthozoa, Malacalcyonacea, Plexauridae.